The sequence is a transfer RNA, 57 nucleotides long. It matches the Rfam family "tRNA", at positions 17 to 71 of the family's 71-position model. Rfam says of the family: Transfer RNA (tRNA) molecules are approximately 80 nucleotides in length. Their secondary structure includes four short double-helical elements and three loops (D, anti-codon, and T loops). Further hydrogen bonds mediate the characteristic L-shaped molecular structure. tRNAs have two regions of fundamental functional importance: the anti-codon, which is responsible for specific mRNA codon recognition, and the 3' end, to which the tRNAs corresponding amino acid is attached (by aminoacyl-tRNA synthetases). tRNAs cope with the degeneracy of the genetic code in two manners: having more than one tRNA (with a specific anti-codon) for a particular amino acid; and 'wobble' base-pairing, i.e. permitting non-standard base-pairing at the 3rd anti-codon position. The record is from Rfam.
GGUUAGAGCACAGCACUCAUAAUGCUGGGGUCACAGGUUCGAUUCCCGUCGUAGCCA